GAAAAGUUAGUUAAAUUAUAACGUAAAAUUGUCAAUUUUAAAUUACUAUCGUUUAUAGUACUUAUCG
This 67-nucleotide transfer RNA is filed under the name Ommastrephes brevimanus. Its description in RNAcentral is "tRNA-Asp". Lineage: Eukaryota; Metazoa; Mollusca; Cephalopoda; Oegopsida; Ommastrephidae. The record is from RNAcentral.